Molecule: RNA transcript, 7178 nt
Organism: Synchiropus splendidus (mandarinfish)
Lineage: Eukaryota; Metazoa; Chordata; Actinopteri; Syngnathiformes; Callionymidae
Gene name: testis-expressed protein 264 homolog
Exons: 6
Source: RefSeq, a predicted model, not a curated record
UCAGAGUAGUGUGCACUUGAUUGAAUGGAAGUCCCGUAUUUUUUUUAAUAGCUUCUGAAUGAACUGGUUCAUUAAUCGCAUCAUGGUUUUUAGCAUGUCGUAAGGUGAAGGGACAUGUGGCACUACUUUUUAAUAGUCUAACAUGGAGGGGGCAAGCAGCCUGUGCUUAGUUGGUAGCUUCCUGGUCAGCCUUGUUUGUGUCGCGGUUUAUAUCGUGUACACAGAGCUGUACCCGAAUAUUGUCGUUAUCACUGGAAAACCUCCGAUUAGUAAGAUCACAUUUGCUUACAAGUUCAAACAAGGGUCUUACAAGGAGUGUGUGCAUCUUUUAAAGGAAAGUCACAUUUUGGCUCCAAAGCUGUCCUGCCUCGGAGUGUAUUAUGAUGACCCUAACAAGGUGCCUGGACCAGAGUGCCGCUAUGCUAUAGGCUGUAUCCUCAGUGAAGGAGAGAAGAAGGCCGACACAGAGCUUCUCGUUCGCUGUGAACAAUCUGGCUUCAAUGUGUGCUCCUUCCCAGAGGUCACACAUGUGGUCACGACAUCACUGACCUGCGGGAGAGUGUUCUCUGUUCUCCUGAGAGUGAAAAGAGUCUAUCUACAGUUAGCUCUUUUCAUCAAGGAAAGACGGCUCUGUGCUCAUCCCUUCCUGGAGAUAUACAGAGAGGGCUUCAUCCAAUUCAUGGUGCCAUUGGCUCGACAGGGAGACUUCUAUGUACCUGAGGUCCGGCAGGCGCAGAGAAGACUGUCGGAAGACUCACAGUCAGACUCAACAAUAUCAGGUGAAGACUCGAACAGCGAGUACUCCUCGGGGAGCGGGAUUCUCCUGUCAGACAGCAGAGAAUCGUCCUUGCUUCGCUCCCCGUCUGCCCACAGUUGGGAGGAGAGUGACCACCGAGGAUCCAGCGCCGGGGGAAGUUUGUGUAAAGAGGCCGCCUGGGUGGAUGCCGAAUCACAUCAGAAAGAAACACCUGCUAAACCUAAUGAGGACUCAAUUCAGAAGCACUUUGAAGUUCCACAUCAGAACAUACUAGGCUCGGUUGCAGACGAAGAGUGAGCUGCUUUGUUCAGCUCAGACUUUUGUCUGAUUUGGUGUUUUGAUGAUCGGUGUUCAAGUCAGUCUCAGGCCUGCUCAGAAGCGCUGUGUUCAGUAUUCAUGCAGUGACUUUUUUUUCCUCAUAAAAGGAUCUGUUUGGUGCUCAAGAGAGUGAAAUGAGACUUCCUGCUGAUGAUGAUUUGCGACAUUCAGGUCAGUAGUAAACCCAACUAAUAAAAGUUGGAUACUUCAGUCUCUUGAAAAACCUGAACAGUGUGUUUGUUUUGUUGUUGUUGUUUUUUACCCUCCUCAGGAACCCAAAUGUUUCCAAUGCUUUGAAUGCAGCAUGAGUGAGACCUGGCUGCCUUGAAGUUUUCAUGUUAUAUCUAAUUGUUCUUGAGUGUGACUGUUGUGUUUUCCACAAAUCUUUACAUGACCUGUCAAAAUUCAACAAGAGACUGAUAUAUAAACUUGCAGGACCUCUUAAAACACCUAUCUACCAAUGUUUUUACUAGUAGCUGAAGAGACUGGUUCAGGUUUGUUUGAAUCGAUGUAUCUCUUCAGAAUAUUCAUCGUAUUGGACUGACACAUUUUUCACAUUAAUAACUGCAAAACCGAUUUUUAAAAAGAAACCACUCUACGCAGUAGUCACUUUAGCUUUACAUCAUAACCAAAUGAGGAACUUCACAGCUGCAGGCAACAAAGGGAAUCUUUUUUUGAGUCCAGGAUCCUUUCAAUGAACCAAAUCUCUCACAUUCAGAUUACUUAUCAGGUCAGUUUAAUGCGAUAUUGCAGAUUGCUGUAAGCGAUCAGCAUCCAGUCAAUGAAUGCAAUAUUAUCCAAUGUAUUUGCGGACUUGGCAGAGUGGUUAGUUAAACUGGAGGCGUGGUCUAGAACAAGACAACAAAACCCGCCUCUCACUCCCGAUAAAGCAGUUUGAAUAUGUCAUUUUUCCUGUAAAUACUUGAAUAUUCCAUCAAAAGGAACAUAUUCCAGUGCUCCAGAGGGAGUGAGGAAGAUAGUGACCCCACACAUUCAAUGCAUCAGAAUGUCAUGUCCUUUUACACUUGACCAUCACCAUUUAUCAGAGCUACGUUUUUCAUAGCGGAUAACCAAAAAGUGUCAUGACCUUACUCAAAUAUUACUUAACUGAGGAGUGUUAUCGCUCAAUAUAAGGAGUGGGGAGUCAUGUUUUAUUUUUAUGUUACAGUACACAACUCCUGCCAAGGUCCAGAUGAAAAUAAAAUGUUCCUGUGUGCACUGCCUUUAGUCCCAUAGAUGGUUUUGAAAUCAAGCACAUGAAGAUAAAAUGCUUUGUUGAGGACUGAAUGUUUUACAGCUGCUUGUUUAAAUUCCACUCAAGUUGUUUUUAGUGUUAGUAUAUUCCAAAAAAGAUUACCUUUUGUAAGAACAUUGGAGUGUGUUUCUUAUGAUGUUUUUAAAUAAACGUUUUCAAAUCAAGUGCCUCUUACAAUGAAAGCUUCCAAUUACAAUGCCUUGUUUCAUUAUUGAAUAAUAAUGUUAUGAUAUAAAGACGGCAAAACAACUUUUCUGGUGUGUCACCCAUUUCUGCCUUUUUUUGUUUUUUUAUUCUUUCUCCAACUGGCUAUGAAGUGAACAUGGCAGCUGCCGAAUGGAGGACCACCUGAUGACCUGCUGCCUGUGAUGUACGUCCAAACGCAGUCAUCUCCUUUAUCUUCCAAAAAAAAACAAGGGAUCACAAUGAGAAGCUCGCAACAGGACUCUUUCAUCAAUAUGCAGGAACUACAAAGAGAAGACAAGUGUGAGUGAGGAGGUAAUCAAUGUUUUAGCAAAUGGCCUUUUAGAUAUUAUGAUCACCCUUGAUCAACACAAAAAUACCUCUUUUGAUCAUGACAUUACUUCUGAGGCACAUCCGUAAAUUUCGAUGCCUUUAAAGUUCUAAUGUCACCUAUUCCUCUGUGGCUUUGUUUUAAAGGUUUUUCCAUUUUUUCAUUUUUCUUUUUUUAGAGAACUUUCUAGUUUAAUGAUGACCUGAUCAAUAUUUUAUAAUAAGUAUAAAUAAGAAUAUACCUGCAGAAUAUGCAAAGAAAUGAUUUAGAAUUAAAUUUAAAUUUCAGCAUUUUUUUCUCAGUUGUGUUUGUUUUGCAUUAUUGCUGAGAAGCAGGCUGUUGAGGCGACACACUGUGACAGAAAACAGAGAAGAAAGAAUGGUGCACGUGCUAAAACGCUCGAGCACUGUGUCCAAAAACUACAAUACUAACAUGACGAGCCAAAGAAAAACGAUAUCAGAGUCGUUGGUGUCAGAAAGGGAAGAGUAGUUAAUGUGUUCAUUUUUCAAAUCCCUGGUGGGAAGAAUGUACACUACGUUGUCGUUCGCCAUUUUUGUUUUGAAGCGACAACUUUUGAGGUCAGAUAGGCAGUUAUAUGACAUCAUUUAUGACCAUGAUGUCAUAGUUGCUUGACUUGACCGACACUAUCUUUAGCAGUACACAUGACAAUUUUUGGGCUGGUUUUGUCCCAUUUUUUCCCCAGAUUAAUUUCUUUCUUGUGAGAUCAUCCUAAAUGAUAAUUCAGUUAUUCUUCAAAAUGUGUGCAAGGCAUGCGUCCGAUGCUUUCCACAUUUUGGGUCACCAUGAUCCCGUCAUUUCUCCUCUUACCACGAAUUGUGCAAAGAGAGCGAUGUCAACACGACUGGUCGACUCAGACCUGUCGGCCCUGGCGAUGUUUAUUCUCCACCUGGCACCUUUCUCUCUUGGAGGACGAGCAUCUAACAAGAGUGGUGUGCUGUGUUGAGUUUAUCAGGGUGCAACACAGACAUUCCAGUUAUCUUCAUGUGUGAGAUCUGACAGACCAUCAGAGCAUGUCGCCGUCUUCAUUGGCAGGUAAGGACUUUACUCCUUGAUACCCUUGCUAGUACGAAAUCAGAUCAAGUUAGCCAACUCCCACACAUCUUCCUGUCUGUUUUGGAGUAUUUUCUGACUACAAACCAGCAGGUUCUGUCACAGGUCCUCAGUUGGUUGGCAGAGGUGAUGAAUAGUCAUUUUACUGCUUCUUUAAACUCCGUAAUAAAUCAAAUUAUACAAGACAAAUCUCAAUGGGCUCAAAAAUGUUCUAAAUUCCAAGAGUGUGACCUUGCUCAUUCUUUCCAAACUGCGGUCUAACUCCUAACUUGCAAAGCAAAGAAACAGCUAGCAGCCUGCUAGCAUCACAUUAUGUACCUCCAUUUACUUAAAAAUUGGAGCUCCCCACUUUUAAUAGGCCCCAUGCUGACCUCUCCUCUCUCAAAUGUUCUACAAAUAAGAGGAUCUAUAUCUGUCGAAUACAAAUGAGUAUAAAUGCUUUGGUGCUCCAGGAUGGGGUUGAAUCCUCAGAGGACAUGAGUAAGCGAGAUGGAUGCGCUUUGAAAAUGUGGAAGAGCCCCGAGGUGUUCUAUACGUUUUUGUUUUUUUUUCAUGUCGCUUAUUGCAGCCAGACGCACAAGUAAAUCAAACCAAAAGGGCCAUGUGCAGUGGCACACGGUUGAUUUUCCAUUUCACCUCAUUUAUCCGGAGAUAGAGAAUAUGUUGACGUUAAAUCAUGAACAAUUACGUGAUCAGAUCACAUGGAUUCUGUCACAUUCUCUCUAUACACUAUAGAUCUAUGCUGAUGCGUCGACUGGUCUACUGCUCUUCCCACAAACUCACAGUGAAGAAGCCGUCAAUAAGUGUUGUUUUCAAACCGGAUGCGCCUCUAACUUGACCCCGUACCUUCACGACAGAACAGUGGAACGUUCCUCGUGUCGGACCCACGAUACCAAAGAUUGUCCGCACUGCAGAGCUAACGGCUAACGUGACAUCUCACUUCAAAACUUUGACACUCGUAGACUAUAGAAGUUUGCUCUGUUGUUUGAAAGCGGGCUAAAUACUAAAUACAGAACCAAAUAAAUGCGCUCCAAAAUGUGAAGAGAGAAAGAACAAUUAUAGUUAUAAAGUUGAGGUGAAUCAUGUGAAGGAUUUGUCUUGAAAUUCCCCGAAGUAGAAAUGAAUCAUGCAAAACUGAUUGUGAUAAAAUUAUUUAAAAUAAUGAAAUCUUGAUAUAUUUUGCCUACCUCUUUCUGGGGACAUUUUUAAACAUUUUUAACAUGUGAAGGUAGCUGAGCCAGUAGCGAUAUUGUUUCUCAGAUUAAAAGGGAUUUUCAGAUGGACUUUUGACAAAGCACAAUUGCGCUUUUGCCGAUGUUCCAUUGGUGGUGAGCCUGUGUGUAUGUGAUGUUUGUGUUUCAUCCACAUUAGAAAGGUAAUAUUUCACUGUAUGGGGGAAACGUGAAACACUAGUCUUUUUGGUAAACAGUGCAGCAGUUCAUGCAGCGCUAUUUUUGUGGCGUUGUCAAGUCGCACUUGUCCACCAACCUGAAAUAUUCUGAGGCUAUCUGACCUCUCGCUCUCGACAUGCAGCACACUGAGAGGUGUGGUUGGACUCAUUCCAAAUCUGCAGCUUUUCAGUGGAUCAGGUCAUUUUUUUGUUGUUGUUGAAUAUGUAACUGGGGCUGGUCCAGCUUUGAAAUGUCCUUCAUGGUGAAACACUCUACACCUGCUCUCAAUUGUGGCAGCUGCACCUCGACCAGUUCAGUGACCUACACCCGUGUAAGACUUGGGAAUGGCCCAGUCCUGAACCCAUGAGACGGACACUGUUGAGAAACCGCAGCAUGUAUUGAAUUAGGCAAUAAUAUAAUGCAUGUCUAUAACUUAUCAUACACAGACUUGUAGCUAGCUGUGGUUAAACUUGCUGUAUCCUCAUGGCCACUGUACAGGCAUACGCACAAAUGUUCAAAGGAAAGUGCAAUAAAACAGCUCUUCCUCGGUCCAUUUAAGUUGAAGUCUGAGAGUCAGUGGGAUGGUUUGGACUUAUAUGGGAUCUUACCGCCGAGUGUAAGGUUUAUGUGAUUAGAAAUAAAUUGGAAAAGCCGCGGGGCAGUCAGAGAUGGGAUUGCAAUACUUGGGUCAAUGGAGCUGUGAGCUUUCGUUAGCCACAAAGUGGAAACACACCUGUGCUUGUUUUUGUUUUCCUGGAGAGUGUUUCAGAAUUAAUGAAUGUUCUUCUUCCCCUUGGCCAUCGAGCGUCCUGCCAGUUUUCAAAUUACUGUGGUUUGGUAUUUGUGGUUUGACGUGUGAUACUCCAAUGGGCCAGGUUUGUGAUGCUCGUGCUGUGAGGAUGCAGUCUCUGUGUGGAUGGGAGCGCCCUUCAAAUCUGCAUGUUUACUCAGCAUUACGAGAUCAGUCAAGUCUAUGACAUCACCUGUAAGACUUGCACCCUCUGCUCCUGUUGAAUACAUGCAAACAACUAUAAAAGCAGCUGGAGCUCCUGCUCGUACACCAAGUCAAAAGAGACAAAACAAAAAAAGGAAAUGAAAAGUUCAUGUUUUCCUUUUUUUCAUUGCAGGUUUAACGACUAUCUCUUUCAUCAUCCAAGGAAAUCAAUUCUGCUCUUGAACUGUAAGAUGGUGGCAGAAUACACAAGUGAGUUGCUAGGAAAAAAGUUUUAACCCCUGCUGGCCAAGAAGAUAACUGCAACAACAUGGUGGCUCGGACACCUCAGCCUGAGAAGGGAAAAACACGACGGUAACUGGAGGCGCUAAUAUUGAGACAUGGACAGUGAGGCUGGUGGGGCCCCUGACCUCAGGGUGCGGAGGUAUGGAGACAGCAAAGUCGAUGUUGAACAUCCUCUCCUGCCUCUCCUGGGACUGUAUCGUCUCCAACCAAGAGCACGGCACCUGCUGCAUCUGGUCUGCAUCGGAAUCAUCCCGCCAUCUCAGCAAACAAGAUAUUAUACCUGUGACCCUGGAGCCUCGUCUGAAGGAAGCUCACCAGAAACUUUAUAAUUCUAUUCUAAAUCAUUCUUACAGCAGUCAACUCAAUUAUUCAUCAAUUUCAGGUUACAUCCUGCUGUAAAUCCACAGAUCACACUGGUUGACCUGAAGAGGUGCCACACAGCCAACUAUUCCUCAAUGGUAUGAUUCGCUCUUCACUGCAUGUACUUCAAGAAAAAGGCGGUGCCAUACAUUCGUACUGAAUGCAACUUGGCAACACUUGUCGAGCUAUUUGCUCCUUACUCCACUGCCUCUCAGUCAAGAAAGUAGGAAAAUUUGCUUGGGUUUAAAGUUAAUGUCCAUUGACUGUAGAAGUGG